Molecule: ribosomal RNA, 427 nt
Filed under: uncultured bacterium
Lineage: Bacteria
Description: bacterial SSU rRNA
Rfam family: Bacterial small subunit ribosomal RNA
Source: RNAcentral
ACUCCUACGGGAGGCAGCAGUGGGGAAUAUUGCACAAUGGGCGCAAGCCUGAUGCAGCCAUGCCGCGUGUGUGAAGAAGGCCUUCGGGUUGUAAAGUACUUUCAGCAGUGAGGAAGGCGGGUACGUUAAUAGCGUGCUCGUUUGACGUUAGCUGCAGAAGAAGCACCGGCUAACUCCGUGCCAGCAGCCGCGGUAAUACGGAGGGGGUUGAGCGUUGUUCGGAAUUACUGGGCGUAAAGCGCGCGUAGGCGGACUGGAAAGUUGGGGUGAAUCCAGGGCUCAACCCUGGAACUGGCCUCCAAAACUAUCAGUCUAGAGUUCGAGAGAGGUGAGUGGAAUUCCGAGUGUAGAGGUGAAAUUCGUAGAUAUUCGGAGGAACACCAGUGGCGAAGGCGGCUCACUGGCUCGAUACUGACGCUGAGGUGCG